AUUGAACGCUGGCGGCAUGCCUUACACAUGCAAGUCGAACAGCAGCGGACCUUCGGGUGCCGGCGAGUGGCGAACGGGUGAGUAAUAUAUCGGAACGUACCUUUCAGUGGGGGAUAACGUAGCGAAAGUUACGCUAAUACCGCAUAUUCUGUGAGCAGGAAAGCAGGGGGAUCGCAAGACCUUGCGCUGAUUGAGCGGCCGAUAUCAGAUUAGCUAGUUGGUGAGGUAAAGGCUCACCAAGGCGACGAUCUGUAGCGGGUCUGAGAGGAUGACUCCGCCACACUGGAACUGAGACACGGUCCAGACUCCUACGGGAGGCAGCAGUGGGGAAUUUUGGACAAUGGGCGCAAGCCUGAUCCAGCCAUGCCGCGUGAGUAAAGAAGGCCU
Molecule: ribosomal RNA, 387 nt
Filed under: uncultured bacterium
Lineage: Bacteria
Description: bacterial SSU rRNA
Rfam family: Bacterial small subunit ribosomal RNA
Source: RNAcentral